CUCCGCGUGGUCCCUGAAUCCGGAGGUUUGUUCCAAUCCAGCAUCCCGACUGACGUGGCCGACCUGCCUGCUGCACAUCGCCGGAGUCUCGCAGGAACCCCUUCGGUCAGGACGUCCCAGCCUGGCCUUAGAUAGCUAACCGGAGUCUCCGGGGGGGGGGGGGUUCCCCAAAACGGUCAGCUGUUGGGAAUGCACUGUUCCCGAGCUCCCCUCCUCUGCGCAGGUGUGGUUCUGCAGAUUACAAGCGGGACCCCUACUCCGAGGAGAACCCCUGUCUGGCCAUCUGCUGCCGGAACGACCUGCAGUCGGAGCACCCCUCUCCCGAAGGCUGCUACGACACCAAGGUGACUGAUUACGCUCUGGCCCAGCAGCUGGCGGCGGAGGCCAUCAGUGGGCCCACAGUGCAGGGGGGGCUGCCGGCCUUCUCCUGGAGCCACUUCAACGGCACGGCGCACCGGGGGCUCCCCGACACCUACAACUUCACCUUCGUGGGCAUGAGGCCCCUGCUGUUCCAGCCCCGGAGUGAGGGGCCAGGGAGAGGAGGAGGGGGAUAGGAGUGAGGGAGAGGAGGAGGGAGAAGAUAGGAGGGAGGGAUGAG
Molecule: non-coding RNA, 598 nt
Organism: Lepisosteus oculatus (spotted gar)
Lineage: Eukaryota; Metazoa; Chordata; Actinopteri; Semionotiformes; Lepisosteidae
Source: RefSeq, a predicted model, not a curated record